GUCGAGAAUCUUCCGCAAUGGGCGCAAGCCUGACGGAGCGACGCCGCGUGGAGGAUGAAGGCCUUCGGGUUGUAAACUCCUGUCACGAGUUAAGAAGGGAAUGCAGCGAACAGUUGCAGUUCUUGACGUAAGCUCGAGAGGAAGCACUGGCUAACUCUGUGCCAGCAGCCGCGGUAAUACAGAGAGUGCGAACGUUGUUCGGAAUCACUGGGCUUGAAGCGCACGUAGGCGGCAUCGUAAGUGUCUGGUGAAAUCCCACGGCUCACCCGUGGAACUGCCAGGCAUACUGCGGUGCUUGAGUGUGGUAGGGGAGAGCGGAACUCCUGGUGGAGCGGUGAAAUGCGUAGAUAUCAGGAGGAACACCGGUGGCGAAGGCGGCUCUCUGGUCCACAACUGACGCUGAGGUGCGAAAGCUAGGGGAGCAAACGGGAUUAGAUACCCCAGUAGUCC
Molecule: ribosomal RNA, 450 nt
Filed under: uncultured bacterium
Lineage: Bacteria
Description: bacterial SSU rRNA
Rfam family: Bacterial small subunit ribosomal RNA
Source: RNAcentral